GAUGAACGCUGGCGGCGUGCUUAACACAUGCAAGUCGAACGGAAAGGCUCCUGCUUGCAGGGGUACUCGAGUGGCGAACGGGUGAGUAACACGUGGGUGAUCUGCCCUGCACUUCGGGAUAAGCCUGGGAAACUGGGUCUAAUACCGGAUAGGACCAUCGUUUAGUGUCGGUGGUGGAAAGUUUUUUCGGUGUGGGAUGAGCUCGCGGCCUAUCAGCUUGUUGGUGGGGUAAUGGCCUACCAAGGCGUCGACGGGCAGCCGGCCUGAGAGGGUGUACGGCCACAUUGGGACUGAGAUACGGCCCAGACUCCUACGGGAGGCAGCAGUGGGGAAUAUUGCACAAUGGGCGCAAGCCUGAUGCAGCGACGCCGCGUGGGGGAUGACGGCCUUCGGGUUGUAAACUCCUUUCGCCAGGGACGAAGCGAAAGUGACGGUACCUGGAUAAGAAGCACCGGCUAACUACGUG
Molecule: ribosomal RNA, 466 nt
Filed under: uncultured bacterium
Lineage: Bacteria
Description: partial 16S ribosomal RNA
Rfam family: Bacterial small subunit ribosomal RNA
Source: RNAcentral